RNAcentral lists this ribosomal RNA (449 nucleotides) under uncultured bacterium. RNAcentral describes it as "partial 16S ribosomal RNA". It matches the Rfam family "Bacterial small subunit ribosomal RNA", at positions 354 to 796 of the family's 1533-position model. The record is from RNAcentral.
GUCGAGAAUCAUUCACAAUGGGGGAAACCCUGAUGGUGUGACGCCGCGUGGAGGAUGAAGGUCUUCGGAUUGUAAACUCCUGUCAUGUGGGAGUAAAGCCGGGUGUUAAAUGCAUGCCGGUCUGAGAGUACCACAAGAGGAAGGGACGGCUAACUCUGUGCCAGCAGCCGCGGUAAUACAGAGGUCCCAAGCGUUGUUCGGAAUCACUGGGCGUAAAGGGUGCGUAGGCGGCGCGGAAAGUCAGGGGUGAAAUCCCGGAGCUCAACUCCGGAACUGCCUUUGAUACUCCCGCGCUUGAGAACUGGAGGGGAGACCGGAAUUCACGGUGGAGCAGUGAAAUGCGUGGAUAUCGUGAGGAACACUAGUGGCGAAGGCGGGUCUCUGGACAGUAUCUGACGCUGAGGCACGAAGGCCAGGGGAGCGAACGGGAUUAGAUACCCUAGUAGUCC